Molecule: long non-coding RNA, 600 nt
Organism: Branchiostoma floridae (Florida lancelet)
Lineage: Eukaryota; Metazoa; Chordata; Leptocardii; Amphioxiformes; Branchiostomatidae
Exons: 3
Source: RefSeq, a predicted model, not a curated record
GGCCACAGGGCAUACUCACACGAAAGUCGCAUCUAAAAACCCUGUACGGCAACGACACACGGUCUCAUAUAGCCUAUGCUCUAGGAAACAUUCCUGGCCACCUCUCUGCCCAGUGGCGUUGUACAAAUCGCGCCCAAUAUUGAGAACACUUCGGAAAACUGUGGUGAGAAGCGGUCUGUAGGGCCGGAGGAACCCGGAAGUGAGCUUCGCAUCAGCAUCAGCACGCUUCGAAGGGAACGAAGUCGGUAGACAAGGCUCCUCCAUCAAAGUUUAGCUCCACAGAGUCAGAGGAAUAUGAGUGGGAUGAUAUAGACAUCUGCAUGAGAUCUUCUGGAGAACUUCUGGAGCAGAUGAUGAAGGGGCAGGAUGUCUUCAACAACACAACAGAAUGGGAAGACAGAUGUCAUUCAAUAUGGUGUUUUUUUAUGCUAAUAGCGAAGAAGCAGGCUAUUAAUUAUCUUAGUAUGCAUACAUAGACUGUUGAUUUGUACAAAAGGUGCAACCGAAUAUGUAGUACACGUAUAUGCAGAACUAAAAAUAUAAGUAGUAAUUAAGACAUGUAACGUUAGAUAAAUUUUCUCUAAUAUUCUCAAUACAAAU